UGGGGAAUAUUGGACAAUGGAGGCAACUCUGAUCCAGCAAUUCUGUGUGUGUGAAGAAGGUUUUAGGACUGUAAAACACUUUUAGUAGGGAAGAAAGAAAUGACGGGACCUACAGAAGAAGCGACGACUAAAUACGUGCCAGCAGCCGCGGUAAUACGUAUGUCGCGAGCGUUAUCCGGAAUUAUUGGGCUUAAAGGGCAUCUAGGCGGUAAGACAAGUUGAAGGUGAAAACCUGUGGCUCAACCAUAGGCUUGCCUACAAAACUGUUGAACUAGAGUACUGGAAAGGUGGGUGGAACUACACGAGUAGAGGUGAAAUUCGUAGAUAUGUGUAGGAAUGCCGAUGAUGAAGAUAACUCACUGGGCAGAAACUGACGCUGAAGUGCGAAAGCUAGGGGAGCAAACAGG
This 407-nucleotide ribosomal RNA is filed under the name Verrucomicrobiota bacterium. RNAcentral's name for it is "Verrucomicrobia bacterium partial 16S ribosomal RNA". It matches the Rfam family "Bacterial small subunit ribosomal RNA", at positions 355 to 776 of the family's 1533-position model. Lineage: Bacteria; Pseudomonadati; Verrucomicrobiota. The record is from RNAcentral.